RNAcentral lists this long non-coding RNA (888 nucleotides) under Lotus japonicus. RNAcentral describes it as "long non-coding RNA (LJAP_LNC000642)". Lineage: Eukaryota; Viridiplantae; Streptophyta; Magnoliopsida; Fabales; Fabaceae. The record is from RNAcentral.
UUUGACACAAACAUCUAAUCAAAAUUCAUUAGGAUUAAAGUACUUGUAAAUAUUUGCUGCAAAAAAUAAGGCGAAAAGCGGCGGUUUAUAAACCUUAUCCUCUACCUGCUUUACCCAUUGACACUCACCUGUUCAGCAGCAUCUUCAUCACUUUGUUCCUCAACCCAUCAGAAGUUCUCGUCGAGGGCAUCAAUGCCAGCAAAGUUGAUCUCUGAGUCAAGCUGCGCGACCUUGGCGAGUUGAGCUCCUCCGGCUUGAAUGGGGUGAUGAAGUAGCUCGGCGGUGCGGUGGAGGUUCGUAGAGCUCUUUGAAGUUUUUCAUUUUCCAUUUUGUCUCUUCCUUAGCAUCAACUAUUACUUUAAAAACUAGAGUUUCUUGGUAACUGGUUCUGAAGCUUUGGUAUGCAAUCAGCUGAAAACAUGGUUGAGAUUGUUGAUCUAAUUGUGUGGGAAAGCAUGCUUGAGGUUGUUGUUAUGGUAAUCUAGUGUAGUAGGAUUGGACUUAUUAGAUGUUAUGCACUUAUGCUAAUUACUUUAGUUUAGUAUGAGAAGAAAAUCAUUAUGGAAGGCUGCUUUGAGAGGAAACUGAGAAAGUUGGAGAAUUUGUUUUGUGGGACUUGGUUUUUCUUUUUCAAAUCUAAGCGCCCGGCUAUAUAAAAUUUCAAUUAGCUGUUAAUUUCAAAGUGUGUUUCAAAAAAUAUAUAUAUUAUCCCACUUGAGAGGGUUAUAACUCAAGAACUUUUAUAGUAGUCAAUAUCUUUUAGUACUAAAUUAUUCUUCUGUUGAAUCUUCUCCCUCAGUCUCACCCUCUGUAUGAUUAAUAACCAUGUAAUUUCUAUAAAAACACCCACACAACACAGUGAACACACUUCAUACCAUUCUAUUUCCG